This 270-nucleotide long non-coding RNA is filed under the name Mytilus galloprovincialis (Mediterranean mussel). Lineage: Eukaryota; Metazoa; Mollusca; Bivalvia; Mytilida; Mytilidae. The record is from RNAcentral.
CUUUAGCUGGUUAUAUAGCUGCAGUUGCCACUUGCAUGUUUGUCUCAAAGAAAUUGAUCAUAAUACUCACUACUCGGCUUAAAUUUUCACCUAUGAAUAAUUUUUGUAUUACAAAGGUGAUUAUUGCACACAAAUUGUUAGAUGAAUAAAGUGCACAUCAGUGGUAUAGCACGUAUGUUUGUACAAAAAACUGCUACCGUUUACAACCCAUAAUGCAAUAAUGAGUAUUUAUUUUUAUAGCUUACUGUAGUAAACUUAAGCUAGAGGCCA